Molecule: ribosomal RNA, 454 nt
Filed under: uncultured bacterium
Lineage: Bacteria
Description: bacterial SSU rRNA
Rfam family: Bacterial small subunit ribosomal RNA
Source: RNAcentral
UACGGAAGGCAGCAGUGGGGAAUAUUGCACAAUGGGCGCAAGCCUGAUGCAGCCAUGCCGCGUGUAUGAAGAAGGCCUUCGGGUUGUAAAGUACUUUCAGCGGGGAGGAAGGCGAUGCGGUUAAUAACCGCGUCGAUUGACGUUACCCGCAGAAGAAGCACCGGCUAACUCCGUGCCAGCAGCCGCGGUAAUACGGAGGGUGCAAGCGUUAAUCGGAAUUACUGGGCGUAAAGCGCACGCAGGCGGUCUGUUAAGUCAGAUGUGAAAUCCCCGGGCUUAACCUGGGAACUGCAUUUUGAAACUGGCAGGCUUGAGUCUUGUAGAGGGGGUAGAAUUCCAGGUGUAGCGGUGAAAUGCGUAGAGAUCUGGAGGAAUACCGGUGGCGAAGGCGGCCCCUGGACAAAGACUGACGCUCAGGUGCGAAAGCGUGGGGAGCAAACAGGAUUAGGAUACC